Molecule: RNA transcript, 1949 nt
Organism: Lutra lutra (Eurasian river otter)
Lineage: Eukaryota; Metazoa; Chordata; Mammalia; Carnivora; Mustelidae
Gene: HNRNPA2B1
Gene name: heterogeneous nuclear ribonucleoprotein A2/B1
Exons: 13
Source: RefSeq, a predicted model, not a curated record
GCGGCAGUAGCAGCAGCGCCGAGUCCCGUGUGGAGGUGCUCUUAGCGGUGUUGUUUCUCGAGCAGCGGCAGUUCUCACUACAGCGCCAGGACGAGUCCGGUUCGUGUUCGUCCGCGGAGAUCUCUCUCAUCUCGCUCGGCUGCGGGAAAUCGGGCUGAAGCGACUGAGUCCGCGAUGGAGAAAACUUUAGAAACUGUUCCUUUGGAGAGGAAAAAGAGAGAAAAGGAACAGUUCCGUAAACUCUUUAUUGGUGGCUUGAGCUUUGAAACCACAGAAGAAAGUUUGAGGAAUUACUACGAGCAAUGGGGGAAACUUACAGACUGUGUGGUUAUGAGGGAUCCUGCAAGCAAAAGAUCAAGAGGAUUUGGCUUUGUAACUUUUUCAUCCAUGGCUGAGGUUGAUGCUGCCAUGGCUGCAAGACCUCAUUCAAUUGAUGGGAGAGUGGUUGAGCCAAAACGUGCUGUUGCAAGAGAGGAAUCUGGAAAACCGGGGGCUCAUGUAACUGUGAAGAAGCUGUUUGUUGGUGGGAUUAAAGAAGAUACUGAGGAACAUCAUCUUAGAGAUUAUUUUGAGGAAUAUGGAAAGAUUGAUACCAUUGAGAUAAUUACUGAUAGACAGUCUGGAAAGAAAAGAGGCUUUGGAUUUGUUACUUUUGAUGAUCAUGAUCCUGUGGAUAAGAUCGUGUUGCAGAAAUAUCAUACCAUCAAUGGUCAUAAUGCAGAAGUAAGAAAGGCUCUGUCUAGACAAGAAAUGCAGGAAGUCCAAAGUUCUAGAAGUGGAAGAGGAGGUAACUUUGGUUUUGGAGAUUCUCGUGGUGGUGGUGGAAAUUUUGGACCAGGACCAGGAAGUAACUUUAGAGGAGGAUCUGAUGGAUAUGGAAGUGGUCGUGGAUUUGGGGAUGGCUAUAAUGGGUAUGGAGGAGGACCUGGAGGUGGCAAUUUUGGAGGUAGCCCUGGUUAUGGAGGAGGAAGAGGAGGAUAUGGUGGUGGAGGACCUGGAUAUGGCAACCAGGGUGGGGGCUACGGAGGUGGUUAUGACAACUAUGGAGGAGGAAAUUAUGGAAGUGGAAAUUACAAUGAUUUUGGAAAUUAUAACCAGCAACCCUCUAACUAUGGUCCAAUGAAGAGUGGAAACUUUGGUGGUAGCAGGAACAUGGGGGGACCAUAUGGUGGAGGAAACUAUGGUCCUGGAGGCAGUGGAGGAAGUGGGGGUUAUGGAGGGAGAAGCCGAUACUGAGCUUCUUCCUAUUUGCCAUGGCAUUGAUAUGAACCAUGGACAAGUAUAUUCUGCUGCCACAAAGACUGUAAAGUGCUUCAUUUCAACAGCUGAGGCGCAAGCCAAGUGAUCAUUAAUAAAGCUUUUCUUGGUUCCUUCAGUGGUGUUGGUAGUAAAAUGGAAGGUGUCUUGCUGCAGGUAACUAAUGAAGAAGUGGUCAACCACAGAGUCUUCAAGAAAUAAGAAAUUCUGUACCAUCUGAAAGUAGUUCUUGUUGGUGCCUUCAUUUAAAAAAAAAAAGCACUUUAAGUUUAAGGGGAAAUGUUUUCUGAAAAAUACAAACUUCAUUUAGUACAGGUUCUUAAUAUAAAACAGUUACAAAAUGAGUGUUGUUUGUAAAAGAGUAACAUCAGAUAAGCUAGAGAGAGAAAUGUAUCAUGUUUUAAACUAGGUUUUGUGAGUAGACAGAUAAAAAUUCUAUUUUAAAUAUAAAGUUUAUAAAAUAAACACUUUUGUAUUAAAAUACUUGGUGUAAUGUUUACACAUAAAAUGUGUGAAUCUUGUUCUAUAAACAUUCAGUUGUCUAAAAGAUUGCCAUCCCCUAGAAUUUUCAAAGCAGUUUGAAAAAACUAUGCAUAUUGCCAUUUUUCUUUCAGUAUUGAUAGUCCAAUAAGAAAAGGAUUUGUGGACAUUAUUGGCUGUCCCUAAUAAAAUGCCAUUCUUUAUAUACUGUA